GACGAACGCUGGCGGCGUGCUUAACACAUGCAAGUCGAACGCUGAAGCACCAGCUUGCUGGUGUGGAUGAGUGGCGAACGGGUGAGUAAUACGUGAGUAACCUGCCCUUGACUCUGGGAUAAGCCCGGGAAACUGGGUCUAAUACUGGAUGCUACAUGUCACCGCAUGGUGGUGUGUGGAAAGGGUUUACUGGUCUUUGAUGGCCGCACGGCCUAUCAGCUUGUUGGGGAGGUAGUGGUCCACCACGGCGACGACGGGUAGCCGGCCUGAGAGGGUGACCGGCCACACUGGGACUGAGACAGGCCCCAGACUCCUACGGGGGGCAGCAGGGGAAAAUAUUGCACAGUGGGCGAGAGCCUGAUGCAGCGGCGCCGGGUGAGGGAUGACGGCCUUCGGGUUAUAAACCUCUUUCAGCAGGGAAGAAGCCACAAGUGCGGGUACCUGCAGAAGAAGCGCGGGCUAACUACGU
Molecule: ribosomal RNA, 469 nt
Filed under: uncultured bacterium
Lineage: Bacteria
Description: partial 16S ribosomal RNA
Rfam family: Bacterial small subunit ribosomal RNA
Source: RNAcentral